Theobroma umbraticum is the source of this 737-nucleotide long non-coding RNA. RefSeq lists it as uncharacterized. Lineage: Eukaryota; Viridiplantae; Streptophyta; Magnoliopsida; Malvales; Malvaceae. The record is from RefSeq and is a predicted model, not a curated record.
CUUCUCUUUCUUCAACUCCACCAUCACUUUCUCCCUUAUGGAAUUUUCUUCCUCCAAAUCGUGGCUUCCACCAUAACCAAUUGGAUCUUAAGCUCUUUUCCCUAUCUCGUCCCAUGUUUCUUCCUUUUGUCCUUCCUUCACAUAAAGUUUCUUCCCUUUUUCCUUUCCCAUAACCAAAUUUAAGGAGAAUUGGUGGUUUGGUUCAAGAUUUCCAAGGGAAAGUAUAGUCAGUAACGUUGUUGAGAAGGUGUGCUGAAGGAAGUAACAACAGAUUGGCAAGUAGAAUUAGCUAAAUACGCAUUUGAACUAAUAGCGACAUAGUGUCCCGCUAUUGUAAGAUAAGUAAUCAAUUAUAGAGUUUUGCUCAGCAUCGCGAGGUUGGCUACGGCCUAGGUAAUGGUGUCUCUAGAUUUCCACUCAGAGUCGCUCCGCUGCCUAGAGGUUUACUCGUAAGUCUCGGACGCCGGUAACGAUCGAGGGAAGAGGUCGUUACAUCCUCUUUGUGUCUGCUUCUCAAAAUUGGCCAAAUCAAUGGCAAAUUCUUAAACCGUUACAGAUAUUGAAUAUCGAUUGCUCUUCAGUAUGAGUCUACAUGUUGAGUUUAGCUAAAUAAUGUAUUUAGCAAAGAGACAUGAAAGAUUGUACAUUUUAAAAUAUAUAUAUUUGUAAACUCCAUGUAUGUAUGUAUAUAUAAUUAUUAGCAAUAAUCUUGAUUAGCCUUAUGAGGAAUAAUUUGU